RNAcentral lists this ribosomal RNA (258 nucleotides) under uncultured bacterium. RNAcentral describes it as "partial small subunit ribosomal RNA". It matches the Rfam family "Bacterial small subunit ribosomal RNA", at positions 26 to 285 of the family's 1533-position model. The record is from RNAcentral.
AGGACGAACGCUGGCGGCGUGCUUAACACAUGCAAGUCGAGCGAGGCCCUUCCUUCGGGAAGGUGCCCUAGCGGCGAACGGGUGAGUAACACGUGGGCAACCUGCACCUAGCACUGGGAUAACUCCGGGAAACCGGGGCUAAUACCGGAUAUGACCUUUGAGGGCAUCCUCGAAGGUGUAAAGGAUUCUGGCUAGGGAUGGGCCCGCGGCCUAUCAGCUUGUUGGUGGGGUAAUGGCCUACCAAGGCGACGACGGGUA